Molecule: ribosomal RNA, 253 nt
Filed under: uncultured bacterium
Lineage: Bacteria
Description: partial 16S ribosomal RNA
Rfam family: Bacterial small subunit ribosomal RNA
Source: RNAcentral
UACGGGGGGGGCAAGCGUUGUUCGGAAUUACUGGGCGUAAAGGGCUCGUAGGUGGCCAACUAAGUCAGACGUGAAAUCCCUCGGCUUAACCGGGGAACUGCGUCUGAUACUGGAUGGCUAGAGAUUGGGAGAGGGAUGCGGAAUUCCAGGUGUAGCGGUGAAAUGCGUAGAUAUCUGGAGGAACACCGGUGGCGAAGGCGACAUCCUGGACCGGUAUUGACGCUGAGGCGCGAAAGCGUGGGGAGCAAACAGG